RNAcentral lists this ribosomal RNA (1251 nucleotides) under Triticum aestivum (bread wheat). Its description in RNAcentral is "partial small subunit ribosomal RNA". Lineage: Eukaryota; Viridiplantae; Streptophyta; Magnoliopsida; Poales; Poaceae. The record is from RNAcentral.
AUGGCUGCUGCUGCGAUGGCGGCGGCGGAGUGGUUCAUCCUGUACGCCAUCCCGAAGGUGGCAGCGCAGGAGGAUGAUAGCAUCUUCGAGCAGCCCACCAACAUGUCCUUCACCUUCAGAAAAGCUCCGUGCCCCUCCUACGUAACUGUCGCGAGUAACGUCGUCAGUCCCGACGGCAUCAUCCACUACCCCUACAUCGCCGCGGACGACGGCCGCGGCAUCUUUCUCCUCUGCGGUUACACCGUGCUCGGGCUCACCUACUACCUCUUCGAUCCCUGGCGCCGCAGGACGCUGGGCGUCAUCCCUCGCGUGGGCGGCCUCAGGCUCCGCGACGUCGCCGGCCUCAUCCGCAGCGGCGGCGGCGACCGCCUCAUGGUCGCCGAGCUCAACACGUGGCUCCUCGACGACCGUGGCUCCGUCACGAUCCACUGCACGGUCGACAUGUACGGCUGGGACGAGAAGAAGUGCAAGUGCUCCGGCAUCACGGCCAAGAGACCGUGGAACGGAGACGGCGUCCUGUCCCACCAAGGCUUCCUCUGGUGGUUUGAUCUCUCCUACUGCAUCCUCGCCUGCGACCCCUUCGCCCCGGUGCCGGAGUUUUACCAGAUCAUGUUCCCGUCCGUCCCUGACGCUCUGCCCUUCGGCUGGAACCGCGACAUACACCGCUGCUUAAAGGUGAGCGACGGCCAGCUGCGCUACGUUCAGAUCCAUGGUGCAUCUGAGAAGCCGGUGGUCAGCAUCUGGACGCUGUCAUCCAGUGAUCCGUCAAAGGCGACAUGGGGAAGCCCGACCAGCCUCCCCUUGGAUGUGGUUUGGGAGGACAGCAGCUACAGUGAUGAUGCCCGGUUGCGUCCGGGGGUCGUCCCUGCUUUGCCGCUGGUCCACCCCAUGAACGCCAACGAGGUCUACUUCUUCUUGGACACAUGCAUCUUCGCCAUCGACCUCACAAAGAAAAAGGUCGUCUGCUGCGAGGAGUUCGGCAUUGGGUGGCUGCCGCCCAAAAUCCGCACCUCCCGCCUGGUCCAUGCUUGGCAGUGGCCGCGGCCGCGGCCGGUGAAGGUCACCAAGAUGAGUCCUCAGUCUGGGCCUGACGGGUUUCAUGUCAACGAGAUUGGUUUAUUGACUCGGUGGAAGUCCGUGAAGGAUUUCCAUAACAGAGCUGCCAUCAUCAUGAGGUCGCGUUCCGAACUAGAUGACACGGAUCUCGACGAUGACUCAGUUGACUCGGAUACGAGCGAGGAGGAGAUUUAG